AUUAUAAUACAAAUUUGUAUAGUCUUGAUACUUUGUGUGAAAAUUUUAUUUUAUUUUAUUUAAAUAUAAAAUUAUUUAAAUAUUAUUUUUUAUUAGUUUAAAUUUUUAGAAUAAAAUGGUUGUUUCGUAUUAUUUUGAUAUGGUAUUAGAAUUGAAGAUUCUGAAUUCAAGUUAUUAAUUUAAGUCCACAUCAUGAGCCUAAUGAAAAGUUUCGAGUUUAGACGUGAGGGAAAGUGUUAAAUAUAAAAAAAUUUAAACAUCGUUCUUUACUAGUUUAAGUUUUUAGAGUGCAACAGUAGUUUCAUUUCAUUUAACAGUUGUUUUGGUUUUAAAGGUGCCUACAAGCUUCCCAUAAUAUAGUUUUGGAUAUAUAUUUGUGUAUAUUCACUCUGAAUAUAGUUUUAUGAGUAAUACUUCAAUACACCAUAUAAAUUUUGACCAUUUAUUUUUCUUAAUAGGUGGUUUAGAUUUAAUAUAAAUCUAGAGGUGACCUACUAUUGAAGCAUUGGUAUCAUUCACCAGGCACCUAUUUAAAGGGUAUUUUGGUCUUUGUAAAAUAUUAUGGUCUACAAAACCAGUUUUAUCCAACUAAGAAUACUGUGAUCUUUUCAAAAGCCUAUGGUAGUUGGAUUUCAAAUUACAACCAAAUUGUAAAUUUAAAUUCAAAACAACAUUUAAAACUUAAUUAUAAAUCAAAUUCAAUUUUUUUAAAUAUAAAACACAAAUUUAAAAUAAAGCUUUCAGUUCCAAUUUAAAAUUUCAAUUUAAAUCAAAAAUUAAAUUUUGGCUUUAAGAUUAAAAAUUCAAUUUAGAUUCAAAUUUAAAAGUUUAAUAUAAAUUUCAAGAUUAAAAUUUUAUAUUACAAUACCAACUUCAAAAAUUAAAUUUAGAUUUAAUAUUUUUUGAGCCGGAUACUUAACAAAUUGGGUAUUAUCUAAUUUGGUAAGUUACCAAAGUAAAUAAAAUAUUUAAUAUUUAUAGGAUGGUGACAAAUUUGGUAUAUACUACUAUUUUUUUUUUCCAAUAUUGUUAUAUUAACUAAUUCAAAUCGGUAACCUGCUCAACAGGUUAUGUCAUGUAAAAUCCAAUUAUACUCUUUACUAAUUAAAGAAUUAGAUUUUAAUAUUUAUGGUGUAUUGAAGCAUUCCUCUAGUUUUAUUAAUCAAUGUGGAUUUUUUUUUUUAUGCUAUUUGUUGCUUGUAAUAUCACAUAUGAUUGUCGACACAUUAAUAGUCUUUAAAAAUAUGUAUAUAGGAGCAGUAAUUUUAUGAAUCUAAACCUACAAGUUAUUGAAACUGGAUGAACGAAUUAGAACGCAACCUAGACAAUGACGUACACAAUUUGAUUAGAAAAAUCUUAAUUAAGAAAGAAGGAAACAAGGGGAAUAAGAUAAUUAAUUACAAGAUGACGUCACAUGAUAUCAAUUAAUUCUUCAACAAGGCCCAAGUAUAAUUUGCCCAAUGGCCUUGAUGCAGGAAACUUACCCUAAUUGGAUUAAAGUUUUUUAGACAAAAAUAUAUCUUCAUUGCUUAGGUUAAAUCACAUGAUUUAGAACUUGCCGAAAGAGUGAAGUUAAUUUUUGUCUAUUAUUAUAGAUAAUUGUUAAUUACGAGACUGUUUGGUUCACUCAUUUUACUUGGUUUCGUAUAGCUACAACUGCUACAGUUAUGUAUAUUUAUUCUCUUUGGUAGUUUGAAAAUGUCUCUAAUUUCUCACCAGUUGGGUGAUUCGUUUUUUUCCCAACUAUUGAUAUAUGGGUGGAGUUGGAGUUAAUUUGAGUAUAAUUCCAAUUAUAUAGUAGUUAGACUCAAAUAUACUAAGCCUGGACACCUAUUUAAAUUUAUGUACAAUUAAAACUAUAAAUAAGUAGUUGUGUGCAGUCAAAUAGCCUCUAUACUGAACAUACAUUAUAGACGGUCACGAUAAUGUAUGAAAAUGUACCUCUCAAAAGAAGAGAUAAAAAAAAAAAAAAACUUUUUAUACACUCAAGAAAAAGGGUGUAGAUCUUACCCCUCACAAUUUAGGGCUGACAGAAUCCAAAUAAUUUUUAAUAAAAAAAAAUGAUGUGAUAAGUAAAGUAUUAAUGACCUUGGAAUAGAGUGGGAGUAAAAUAUACACCUAACUAUGGGGUGUACUGGUAUCAUUGCUCACAAGAAAAUAGCCUCAUAAUUGGUAGCAAAGAUUAUAGCUGCAGUAUAUAUAAUUUUUCUUACAAUAUUUCUCCAAUUUGGAAUUAAAAAGAAAAACUCGUUAGCAAAGUGUAAAUUUCCAGUCAAAUUGGAAAAAAAAGAAGAAGAAAAUUCCAAUUCAAAAUGAAUUGAGCUUUGAAGAGGUUAAUGGCAACAAAAUUUAUUGUGCAUCUCAUAAAAAAGCAGAGAGGGCUGAAAUUACUUUUAAGCUGUAAUUAAAUGCUUAAUUUCAUUGCUUUUGUAAACAAUAUUUGCCCGCAACUCUACUUUUUCAAAAAAUGCGGUUAUUAAUUUUGUCCUGAGUGAUUAUGAAGUCACUUACAAGAUAGAUAGAGAUGAAAAAAAUAAUCAAAAAAACAUAUCUGCUGUAACUUUUUUUUUUUUUUUCCCUUUUAUAUACUAGUGUGAAAUUUUUUUCAAAAAAUAAAUAAAAAAGGGGAUAAUUGUAUUUCUAAAGCCAUUGACUUUUAUCAUGGAACGGUGGUAGAAAAAAUAUUAUUCUUUUGAAUUUCAGGACCAGUAAAAAUCAUUUUUAACGUGAGAAUCGAUUACUUAUCAGCAAACAAACAGGCCCUUCAAGUUGGAAUAUCAUGCAUGGCACAUUUCCACGACUUUGAGUAAUUGCAAGAGCUCAAUAUUUUUGUUCCACCCACUGGCUAUAAGGUGAUGCCUUGGUAUUGAAUACAUUUUCUUUCAAUACUUUAGCACACUUUCUUAAAAAAAUAUAUAUAAUAAAAUAAGAAUAAAAAAACCAUAUCAAGAGUAGUCCUUCAUAUUUGGUACAAGUGAGAAAUUUUUGGCAGCAUAUAGAAAAGAGAAUUCUGAUUUUAUUUAGCAAAAUUGAUUAAUUUUCAGAUCAUUACAUUUUAGCCAUCAGUUGCGCUUAUUUUUGACAUCUUUUUCUUAAGUCUUGCAAACCAUACUCUAGAGGUUACAUAGAGAGUAUCAUACAAACUGUCUACAUAUUGGAACCACCAAAUCCUAAAUCUUUUAUUAACCAACAGGGCUCCAGUAAUAGGCCAAAAUCCAACUGCAAAUCCUGCUAUUGUAAUAAGGCAAAGGAGUAAGAUCUCUUUUCGAUUUUCAUCUGCCUUUUUUGAAACAUCAGAUCCUGCACGACCAUUAACAGUCGGUGGAGUACGACUUAACUGGCCAAUUGUCGGGCCUUCGGCUUGGCCUUCAUUACCUGGGCAACUCACAUUUAUUUGGAAUCCGCAGAGAUAUUGGUUUCCGACAUAUAUGUUAGGGUCGGUGAAUGUGUCCAUCGGAAUUCUUCCUGAGAAGUUGUUGUACGAUAUGUUCCAGAUUUCCAAGAAGCUUAAGUCGGACAAGCUAGAAGGAAUUGCUCCUGAUAACUUGUUUCUCGACAAGUCCAGAUAUAAUAGUUGCGUCAGAUCGCCGAUCUUGAAAGGUAUUUGUCCUGUUAGAUCAUUACUCGACAAGUUGAAUAUCAACAAUCCCAGAAGAUUUGUUAGUUCAUCGGGUAUGCGUCCCGACAAGCUAUUCCUAGAGAGAUCCAAGAUCGUCAUCUGCAAAAGAAGAUCACUACCAUAUUGAUCUUCUCUUCCUUUGAUGUCCAAUAUCAUAUUCUCAUCAUGAAUACCAAUUGUGCUGUUUAGGAUAGGUCCAAUGUUUGUAUGAGGGUUCCUCAUAGCCAUGAAGUUGCCGAAGGUCAUCGGUAUCGGCCCUGAAAGAUUGUUGUUUGAGAGGUCUAAGAUUCGGAGAGCAGUAAGAUUAGAGAGUUCUGUUGGAAUUCGGCCGACAAACUUGUUUGAUUUCAAGCUAAGAAUCUUGAGAGACGAGAGCUCUCCAAGCCAGAUUGGUAUCCUUCCUGUAAACAUGUUACCGCCAAGAUCAAGAGUAUCCAGCAUCUUGCAGGUCUUUAAGGAUGAGGGAAGCUCUCCAGAUAAACUGUUUUUCCUUAGGUGCAAUGAUCGAAACUGAGGCGAUUCACAAAGCCAUUCGGGUAUUCCUCCAGAAAGAUUAUUAUUUGAAAGAUCCAAAACUUCUAAUUGAGUAUUAUUUUGACAGUUUGGGAGCUCUCCUGAUAAAUUAUUGUUUGAGAUUGAUCUGGUAAUCAAUUGUGAACUACAAAUAGACAUGGGGAUCCUGCCAUUUAUUCUAUUCCUCGACAACAAAAGCGCACUUAAAUUAGGCAUUAGCUGGAAAAUAUCAUCAGGAAUAGGGCCCAUAAAUGAAUUGCUUGACAAAUCUAGUUGUGCCGUGUUUGACGGAAAACGUGGCACUGGUCCCUCAAAGAAGUUGGAACUUAAAUCAAUAAAUAAAUCUGUAUCAGCCCUGAAUUUUAUUAAGUUGGGUAUCACACCAUGUAGCUCAUUAUUAGCGAGAUAAACAGUAGAAAGAUUGGUCAUUGAGUUCCAAAACCAAUUUGGCACUGAAUCUGAAAUCCCCGUGGAAGAUAGAUCGAGGCUGGCUAGAGACUUCUGAGUAUGAAGCCAUGAGGGAAACUGGGGGCCUAGUUUACAGCCACGGAAGACCAAAUCACUGAGUUGGAAAGGAGGAACCCAAUUGUUGCUCAGAUUCAAAACCAACGAGUUAGAAGUCAGGUCGAUGAUCUCCAACUUUGUAAGAUUAGAAAAAUGAUAUUCUGAAAUAACUCCGAUGAGAGCGUUGGAGCUAAGAUCCAAAGAUUUUACCUCACUAAGGUUUCCAAGACAUUCCGGAACAGUGCCAUUUAGCUUAUUGUUAUAAAAAGCGAACACCUGUAAGGUGGAUAGUUUACAAAAAGAGGUGGGGAUUGAACCGGAAAGUGAGUUCAAUGAAAGAUCAAGAAUAUUUAGAUUGUUCAGGUCACUGAUCCAAUCCGGCAUGUUGCCACUUAGAGAUGUGCUACUUAAGUACAACUCUCGCAAGCUAUUUUGGAGACAUCCAGAAAAAGACUCUUUGAGUGCAUCUAACCGGGAAUUAAUUGUGGAACCUGAAAAAUCUAGUGUGCGAAGCUCACAGAGAUUGCCCAAACUAGACGGCACCCCGGCAUCGAAGUCAACAUUGCCCAGUUCAAGCACCUUUAGAGAAGCCAAGUUUCCAAUUGCAGAUGGAAUGAGCUCUGCAAAUCCACUUGAAGUGAGAUAAAGAUAUUGAAGGGAAGUAAUUCUAAACAACCAGUCGGGUAAGCUAGAAUUUACUUCGCUGUUAUUAGGAUAAUCAUCAAGUGACGUGUAAGAAAGAUCCAAAAGGGAAAGAGAGGUAAAAUUGACAUGCGGGAGAGAUUGUGGAAAGUUAACAAGUUGGCACUGCUGCAAACGAAUGUCUUGUACUAAAGGAAGCAUGUUCAAUGCUUGUAGGCAAUUAGACGUAUUCUCAAUCGAAGAAUAGCUCAUAUCAAUAUGAAGUAGAGAGGUGAGUCGAGAAAGCCAAUUAGCGUUACUCAAUGUAAGUGGAUUACCAGAAAGAUCCAGAAUUUGAAGUCUUGAGAGAUUUCCGAGCUGAUCGGGUACCGUCCCAAAAAAAUACGACUGAGAUAUGUUAAGAUAGUUUAACUUCUCGAACGAACCGAUCCACUGGGGAAUCGAUAUGCCUGCAAAGUAAUUGCUGCUGAGAUCCAAAUAGCUCAGUUGCUUAAGACGGAGCAAAGAAGGAUUGAUUUUGUUGCCGACAAGUUCUCUCCCUUGAAGAUCUAAAUGCACGAUGUGUCCGGUUCGGUUGUCGCACUCCACGCCUUCCCAUUUGCAGCAAUUUUUUCCCUCCCAAGAAAAGAAGACAGCUGCAGUUCGGUUGAAACCUCCGGCAAACCUCAGAAGUGCUUCCCUCUCGGCAUCUGGGCAACUCAUAUUAGAAGAUUUGAAUGCCACAGCAUAUGCAAACGAGAGGAACAACAGCAAAGCUCUUUUUAUUGCUUUGUAAUAAUCCAUUCUCAGAAUUUCUUCUUCUUCUUCUUCUUUUUUUUCUUUUUUUUUUUUUUUUUUUUUUUGUUUUCCCCGAUUUUUUUUUCUUUUUUUUUAGCAGUGCCUCACGUUGGAUUUAUAGUUACCAAAGCUUAUAGGCUAAAAAGUCAGUCAACACGAAGUUGCACCGAAAUGCCACCAUAAAAUGCUUCCCACUUUGUUGACGAGGGUGUUUAAUUUUCCAAGAUGACUUAGACUUCACCAUUAUGGAAAAGCCGAAAGCUAAUUUAAUAAAGAGACAAUCUAUAAUAUCUAUAAUCUAUAAUAACAUACAUGAAUUCUCAGUUUUGGAACAGGUGGCGAGCGUGGAGGCGUGGGCAGGGGCGAGCGCGGGGCGCGGGCAGGCGGGCGCGCGUGGCGGGGCGCCUCGUGGCGCGGGCACGCGGGGCGCGGGCAGGAAGCGCGAGCCGGCGCAAGGCGCGGCGGGACAGGUGGCGGCGAGCGAAGCGCGGCAGGGGCGAGCGUGGGGCGCGGGCCGGCGGGCGUGCGUGGCGGGGCCGCCGCGUGGCGCGGGCGAGCGGGCUGCGCGGCAGGCGGCACGUGGGCGGGCCACGUGCGCGGGGGAGAGGAGAGGGAGAGGAGAGGAGAGGCGGGCGCACGUGGGCGCGGGCGCGCGGGGCGCGCGCAGGCGGGCGAGCUCGCGGGCCGCCGCGUGCGCGGGCGAGAGGACGGGGAGAGGAGAGGAGAGGAGCGAGAGGAGAGGCGGGCCCAGCUAGGAGAGCAGAGAAGGUAGAGAGAAGGGAUUUUUUUUUUUUUUUUUUUGUCUCUUUUUGUCUCUUUCUACUUUUUCUUUUUUAUUUUUAUUUUAUAAUAUUGUUCUCUUAAUAUAUGAUUAAAAAAUUUAUAAAUUUUUUAAUUCAAUUAAAAUUUUAUUUAUUUUUAUAAAAAUUUAAAAUAUAUAAAUAAUUUUAAAUAAGUUAAUUAUUUGUAUUCAAUAUAAAUUUUAAUUAAGAUGAAUUAAAGAAUUAUUAAAAAUAGAUAAAAAAUAAGGAAGGAUUUAAAAAUGAAACAUUAAAAAAGUAAAAAAAAUAAAAAUAAAAGAAUAAGAUAGAUAGAAGAAAGAAUAGAGAGCAAAAUGUAAGAACAAUAAAUUAAUUUUUCUAAAAAUUAUAUAUAAUUAUAAUAAUAAUUAUAAUAUAUAUAAUUAUAAAUAUAAUUAUAUAUAAUUUCUUAUUAGUAUGAUUUUUAUCUUUAUUUUUUUAAUCUUUCUUAUAAUUUAUUUUUAUAAUUUUAUUACAGCAAUAGUUGUUUAUUUUUUAGUUAUUUUUUUAUAUAAUUUUUUGACUCCUUAUUUUUAUUAUUAUUUAUUUUAUUUAUAUAUUUAUUUCUGCAAAAUCAUCCCGCCGCAACGCGCGGGUCCUUCACUAGUUAUCAAUAUAUCCCUCUCAAAUUCUCACCUGUUAUAUAUUGCGCUGAAAAACAUCUGUUCCUAAAUAUAUCUUCCAAAAUUUUUAAAUAAAAAUUAAAAGAAAAUCAAAUCCUUGGAUUCGGUUGGGUCUGAAUAAUUAAUAUACUAUAUACCAAUAUUCUAAAAGGAAAUAUGUAAAAAAAACAUACCCUGUCAUUUAACAUCCGGGCGGCACUCGAUCUACAUAUUUAAGUUAUUAAUGCACUUAUUGGGUCUAUUUGAACGAAUUUGAAUAGUGGCUGCCCACAUAAGCUCGAGUAUGGAUAAGGAUGUCCAGUACGGAUAUCCGAAAUUUUAUCCGAAACCAAAUCUGAAAAGAACGAAUUUAUUCAAUUCUAAACGGAAAUAGUUUUGGAUAUGAAUAUAAGAAACAAAAACUCAAAUAAUUUGGAUUCAGAUAUGAAUUUAUUUAUAUAUUUUUUGAAUUAUACUUUAAAAAUUUAGAUUUAAUGUUAUAUAUUUUAAAAUAUUGUAAAUAGAAAUAAUUGUUUCGGGUUCGGGUUUGGGCUCUGGUUUCGAAGAAGUUUAGGUAGGGCUGGCAAACGAGCGAGCCGGCUCGCGUUCGACUCGUGUUCGGCUCGAUAUUUGGCUUGCUCGAGCUCGACUCGAAAUUAAAUGAGCCGAGUUUGAACAAAAUAAAAGGCUCGAAAUUCAUUUCAAGCCGAGCUUGAGUAUUACUCGGCUCGUUCGAAUUAGGCUCGAAAAGCUCGAAAAGCUCGAAAAGCUCGAAAAUAUAUAUAUAUAUAUAUAUAGGCCGGGGCUACUAUACUCUUAUGAGUAUAGACCCCCUUGUACUCAUAAAUUUUUAACCGUUGAUUGAUGGGAUGUGUGGUUAGGAUGAUGGUGGUCCCACUUAAAAUGAUAGUGGUCCCCUAGAGUUGAGUGGGUAGUUGGUUGAAUAGUAUGAUCUAACGGAUGGAAAUGAUCAGUGAAAUAAAUCUAAGGGCCGAAAACUUAUGAGUAUAAAAGAGCCAAUACUCAUAAAAGUACAGUAGCCGGACUCUAUAGAUAUUUAUAUAUAUAUAUAUAAUGUAUUUUAAUUAUAUAUAGGCUUUAAUUUAAUUUGGGCCAUUAUUGUUGGCCCAUAAAAUAAACCCAACAAGUACAACCGUGCAAUUGAGCCCAACUCUAAAUUUACAUAACACACUCUCUCUUUCAGACUUUCACUGUUGCACAUAACCCUAAAAUAUGAUAAUAUUCAAAUUUCCAAAUCCCUAAUUUUUUUUCCUCUCUCUCUCUCUCUCUCUCUCUCUGACCCUCACCCAGUCAGGCAGUCACCCUAGCUCACAUUUCUUACAAUUAUUUUGUAUUUUGAACUAUUGAACAUAUUGUAUCAAAUUAUAGGUAAUGUUCUAUAAAAAUUAAACUAUUGAUUAUAUUAUGUCGAGAAUUUCAAUCGGCUCGUUUAGAGCUCGAGCUCGGCUCGACUCGAAAUUAGGCUCGCUCGAGUUCGGCUCGAAUUAAUUUCAAGCCGAGCUUGAGCCUAGAUUUAAGCUCGAAAUUAAUUUCAAGCCGAAUUUGAGAUGACAUAAGCUCGCUCGAGCUCGGCUCGUUUCCACCCCUAAGUUUAGGUCGGGGUCGUGUUUGGAUAUAGAUUUUUAAAAUCCAUCGGAUUGGGUUUAGAUUCGGGUUUCGGGUUUGGUAGUCGGGUUUGGAUUCAGUUUUUUGAAAAUUUGCUCUAAAUCCAACCCGUUGACAUCUCUAGGUACAGAUCGGACAAGGAUCGAGUCUAGAUCGAGUACAGAAACCUCUAUAUGUAUAUAUUGUAUAAAGCACAAAUAUUUAUUCUAUGGUAAGUGUAAAAUAAAAAUAUAAAUUUAUAAUAGAUACACCAUAAGUUCAAAACACAUGCAUGUAUUUUUUUGAGAAAAAGGUAGCACGCUACCUGCUUCAUUCAUUUAGAGGAUGAAUUAGGCUUACAUAAUGGAGGCAACCGGGGCCUCCGACGGGAGAAAGAGCGUCAAAAGCCAGAAAAACAAAGACAAGAAACGAAAACGACAAGAGACUAAAACCAAAAAAAAGAAGGAAAUGAGGGUAAGGGAAGCGAAAGCGACAAAUAACUAAAACCAAAAGAGGAAGAAAGAAAGUGUAAAAGCGACAGGCGUCAAACAGCAGGGAUCCAGCAGGGUCAACAAGGAGCGAUCCAGGUGUCAAGCAGCAGUUUUGCCCGUUCCAGGCACCGAGUAGGGUUGGGGGCAAUCUCUCGAAAGAUUAAACUAUUCCUUUUCGUCCAAACGACUCACCAAAUGGCAGAAAGGAGGGAGGGGGAAAUAAGUCUCUCUUUGGCGUCUCUUAGAUCAAUAAGUUUAGACCAGAGGUCUCUCACAUCGUCCGAGGGAUCAGUCAGAGCCUCCAAGCCGCCUACGCUCAGCAAAAUAAAGCGAACAAAGACACAGGAGCUUAUGAGGUGGUCGCAACUUUCCAAAUUAACGGCACAGAAAAAACAUGUUUGAUCCGCUAGCCACCCUUGCUUAUGGAGCCUGUCUGCAGUGGGGAUCCUCUUACGAAGUAGUAGCCAUAGGAAUACUUUGAUCUUGCCAGGGAUAUUCAAUUUCCAGAUAUGUUGACUUAGGGGGUCCACCAUGCCUGAGUCCGUGAGAAAGUGAUAAAGGGAUCUGACUGAAAACUUUUGGUUGGAGGUCCAACGCCAUUUGAUUAGGUCCGGAAGCUGAGUUGGCCGGAUGGGCCGAAGCAAGUCCAUAAGCAGGCCCUUUUGUCUAUGAUAGUUCACAGGUAGAGGCCCUGCUGGACCGCGGCAGAUAUAUUGCCACCGCCAGCCAUUAGGGCCCCAGCACUGAGCAAUAGUUGUCUCCUUGUUUCGGGUAUGACCGUAGAUGUCGGGGAAGAGAGUACGAAGGGGAGCCUCGCCGUACCAAAUUGAUGACCAAAUCUUAAUAUCUUUGCCGUUUCCGAGGUUGUAGGUUGUACCGCAUUUAAAGAUGUCCCGGCAUCGCAUUACACUUUUCCACCACUGAGAAUAUGGCACAAAGGCCCUGCCCUCAUGAAGAGGUUUGCGUCUAAUAUAAUAAAUCGAUUUGACUAACUUCUUCCAAGGUAGAUCUGGUUCGCUAAAGAAGCGCCACCACCAUUUAGUUAAAACCGCUGUAUUCAUAGUUGCCAAAUCCUUGAUUCCUAGGCCUCCUUCUUUUUUGCUUUUGCAGACUGCCCUCCAAUUUACGAGGCAUGCCCCUCCAGAUAUGUUUGUGCAUCCGCACCAAAAGAAAGCUCUCCUCAAGGCUUCAAUUCGGCGCAGAGCCCAUUGUGGAGCUUUAAAGACGGAGAGGAAGUGAAGUGGCAGAUUUGAAAGGACAGAGUUCACGAGGAUCAACCUCCCUCCUUGGGAGAGGAGCUUGGCCUUCCACCUUUCAAUUCUCUUAUAAUGCGGUUGAUAAUGAUCGACCAGUCCUCUUUUCGCAAAGAUCUAUUGCAAAGGGGUAGUCCCAGAUAGCGGAUAGGGAGGCUUCCAACUUGGCAGCCCAGGAUGUUAGCAAGCCUGGUAGCUCUAGAGGUGUUUGAGCCCAGGUAGUACAGUUCGGACUUGUCCAUAUUGAUUUGGAGUCCAGAGGCCCAUUCAUAAAAUUUCCAUAAGAAACGCAAAUUUCGCAGGAUAAAUUUCCUAGGCUCGCAGAAGAAGAUCGUGUCGUCGGCAAAUUGAAUCAGAAUAGUUUGACAGUCCGAAGUUGGGCCGAUUCCCCGAAGAAAGCUAUUCCUGCAGGCCAUGUCGGAAAGUCUGGAAAGACAAUCUGCAACAAUCAAGAAGAGAUAGGGGGAGAGAGGGUCGCCUUGCCGAAGACCCCUUCGUGUUUUCAGCCAGUUUGUAGGAGUGUCGUUCACAAGGAUGGCUAUUUUGGCGUUACAGACGCACUGUUCAAUCCAGGACCACCAUUUUUCACUAAACCCGAGCCAAAGCAUGAUUCCUUUCAGAAAGGGCCACCGAACGUUGUUGAAAGCCUUUUCAAAGUCUGCUUUGAGACUGACGCAUUCCUUCCUAGUUUUGGAGCACAAACUGAUUAGUUUGCAGGCGUUGACGAACGAGUCCGCAAGCAGUCGGUCUUUGAGGAAGGCCGAUUGGGAAGGAGAAAUAAUAGACGGUAGAACCAGGGCAAUCCUAUUCGCAAGAACUUUGGAAAUAAUUUUCUGGAUGCCGUUGAUGAGACUAAUUGGGCGAAAAUCCUUGGCCUGGCACGCGCUUUCUUUCUUGGGAAUGAGGCAGAUGAAGGAGUAGUCAAUCGGGGCUGUGGAAAGCGUGCCCCCUUGGAGAUCAAUGAAAAUCUUGUAAAUGUCGUCUUUAACGGUUUCCCAAAAAGUUUGGUAGAAGAUAAGUGGAAACCCAUUAGGUCCAGGAGCUUUAUCACUACCAAGUUGAAAAGUAGUAGCCUUAACUUCCUCCAUGUCGAAGGGGGCAGUUAGACACUCAGGUUGUAGUAGCGUGUUGGAUUGGAAGAGAGCGCUCCAAUCCCCGAAGGAGGAAGGUCCGUUCUCUGCCUGACCGAACAAUCGGUGGAAAUACUGAUAGAAAAAGUAUCUUUUGUGAUCCUCCGUGUUUAACAGUCUCCCAGUGUCAUCUUCUAUUACUUCAAUGGGGUUGGUGCGUUUCCUUCCGUUGGCCACAGCAUGGAAGUACUUGGUAUUAGCGUCCCCCUCCUUGAGCCAUAAUUGUUUGGACCUGGUUUUCCAGAGGACUUCCUCUUCUUCCAAAAUCUGUGUGAGGUUUGAUUUGAUACGUUCUCUCUUAUCGUGGAGAUCUAAGCUCAGAUCUUGGAGCUCUUCCAUCUGAUCAAUGGACUGAAGCUCAUCCAGAAGGGACUUCUUAGCUACGGUAAUAUUGUAAAAGUUCGAUUUGCACCAUUCCUUCAUACGAACUCUGCAGUGCCUCAGUUUAGCAGCAAUAGUGAGGAUCGCUGAUCCUUUAGGACUGACUUCGUUCCACCAUGUGGUACUUUGGAGAUAAAAUCCUCUUUCGUGAGCCAGACUUUCUCAAAACGAAAUCUACGCGUCGGAGGUGGGAGCCUAGAGUAGAGGAGGAUCGGAGUAUGAUCAGAGGUGAUUCUAGGGAAGGCUUUGGCCUUGCACAGUGGGUGAGAGAGGUCCCAUUCCGUGGAGACGAGGAACCUGUCUAGUUUUGCCAUGGUGGGUUGACGAUACAUGUUAGACCAAGUGAAGCUUUGAUUUGAAAGCGGAACAUCAAUGACCUUUAGGUUAUUGAUAAGAUCCGAGAACAUCUCCAUGGAUUUUCUACUCCAAGUACGUCCACUCCUUUCGGUUUGAUUUCUGGUGAAGUUAAAAUCCCCACAGAUGACCCAGCUGGUGCAGCAAAUAUCUUUGAGGGAAGCCAAUUCAGAACAGAAGGCGUCCUUACCCUCCCAGGUGGGGGGUCCGUAAACAUUAGUGAUGAAGAAGGUCGAGCCGCUCGCGUGAUGGGAGAGGCGUAUGGUAAGAGAGUACGAUCGAACAAUAACUUCUAGCCCAGCAAAGUAACUCGAGCACCAAUAGAUAAUAAGACCUCCUGAGGCCCCGACGACCGGCAAAAAGUGACAUUUAUCAAAACUAGAGCCACAACAUGAUCUAAGAAAAGACCGAGAUACAGAGUCGACUUUAGUUUCCUGGAGACAGACAACUGCACGGUAGUGCCUAGACACGAUAGAUUUAACUAGACAUCUUUUACGAGGAUCAUUGAGACCUCGAACGUUCCAACUAAGAAAGGAAGACAUCAAAAAGAGACGAUCCCCUUAGGAGCAACAUCAGAACAGUAAAAGGGAGAGAAACUAAGUUAAAUUAGACCCCGACGGACAGGAAGUUCUGAAGAUCCUUCGCUUCAGCAUCAGAUAUCGCUACUCCAAGCAGAAGACUCUUCUUCUUGAUUUUAGAGCGAGACAGAUUACGAGCGGAGCGGCCUGGUUCAGACGAGGAUCCUUCCAAUAGUUUAGCUUUCCUGUUCGUUGCUCGCUCGAGCACGUUGACAUCCGUCAGAUUCGAGAGUCUGGCGCUUACCUUAAGGGAGGUUAGGGCUCCGCCAGUCAGUUGGGAGGGGGAGGGCUCAGCAGAGUGGAGGGGGGGAGCAUGCUGGUAGGACAGAAGGAGCCCAAGGCCGGGCCACAGGAGGUAGGCAAGGUGGGAGGCAGCAAGUAGUCUCCGACCCCCGGGGAGGGAAGGCGCGUCAUGGGAGGGAGGGCGAGCCGGGGGGGCUUCGGGCUGGCAUGAGAGCUCAGGGGGUUCAAGCCCGGACUGAGGGAGCACCGAUCAGGGGAGCCCGAGGCCGGACUGUCCAGGGCGAGGCCCACGUUGGGUCCACAGAUGGGUUCCAGCAAGCGGAGGAGGCGGGCCGGGGGAAAAUCUGGCCGCGACCGGGGCCCCAGCCCAGGGGUACGGGCUGGCGAGAAGCCACAGUGCCAGCCGGGGGAGCCGCUCGACCUAGGCGGGGAGCACAGGCAGGCGCGGAGCUCGAUCGCGGGGAGCUGCGGACUGCCGCGGGAGGUGCUCGGCCAUGCGAGGAGGCUCGGCCGACAGUGAGGGAUCGCGUAGUCCAGGGUCAGAGGGAGCACUCAGGCAAGAUCAGGCCGAGCCGGCUCAUCCAAGGCCAGGCCUCAAGUUGGGCUCCACAGAUUGGUUCGAGCAGGCGUGGGAGCUCGGUAACCGGCGGGGGACUCGCGGCGGGGGAGCUUGGAACCUGGCGGGUAGGGCUCGGGCCGGCGGAGGAGGAGCUCGGCCGAGCGGGGAGCUUGGACCGGCGAGGGCUCGGGCCGUCGGAAGGUCCUAGAGUCCGAACAGAGGGAGCACAAGCAGAAAGGCAGAUGCGGCGGGGGACUUCGGACCGACGGGGGAGCACAGGCGCGGAUCGGUGAGAGCUCGGGCCGCGCUGGGUGGAUGCUCGAAACCGCUGGGGGAGCCGACACCGCAGGAGUGGCUCGUGGCGGCAAGUGUAAUAUACGAAAAAUUUCGGGUUGCGAUGCUAAUUUUAAUCUGGAAUAUUAAAGUGAAAUGUGAAUUGGAUGUGCAUCAUUCCAGAGUGUUUCUGGACGUGUGGGAAUGAUCUCUGGAGGUAAUUGGGUAUUCGGGCACAAAUCGGGCGCGAAAUGAACUUGAAAGGGAAUUUUCGGAUUAUGACGCUAACUUUAACCUACGCGAUCAAAGUGAGAUAUGAAUGUUAAUUAUAGUACCUCCGAAUUAUUUUGGAAGUGCGAGGAUAGUUAAUGACAAAUUCCGGAGAUGCUUGGAUGUUAAAAAAAUAAAAAAAAAGUCGGAUUUUGAUUACAUUGUUAAAUUUGGAACAAGUUGGUCGAAGUAAGGCCAAAAUAAAAUUAAUUUGCUUUCGAGCUUAAUUAGUAGCUUCGGCAUAGUGUUUAGUAUGAUUUGGAAGUGAUUAGAAAUAUUCGAGGCGAGGCAAGGUGGAAGAACGAAAUGGGUUGAUAAUGCUGCUGCUGCCAGAAAAUUCUGCAAGUGCAGAUUUUGCAUUGUGUACCUCAGUGAGGUACAGGUGUGUACCUCAGUGAGGUACAGGCCUUUAAAACCUGCAGCAGGGCUGAAAUGUACUUAUGUUGAAUUGAGGGGUUAAGUUGCAAUUUGUCAAGCUUAUCACCUAUUUCCAGCUGAGUGGCAUGUGUCCACGUAAUUGGACCCAACUCCUCUUCACUGGUUCUCAUCUUUAUCCCCUUCCUUAUCUCUUUACAAGCUUAGGGGAAUUGGUGGAGAGGGUGACAGCUUGGGUGUUUGAGGUUGUGACGAGUAGGGAAACCAGCAGAGGAGAAGUUAUAAUCAGAGGUAAGAGAUGGUUUCCAAUUAAUAAUCAAGUUAAAUGCACUAAGAGAGGUUCUCUAAGGUAAUUAAACUUGGUGUUAUGCUGUAGAUUAAUUGGAAGCUAUACAAGAGAAGGAAGUUGUUAAAGUGCUACCUUGGUAGAAAGGCUGCCAAGGAAGCUAAUGAAGCAGAAUUUAAGAUGUUGGAGCUGCCGAAUUGGAGCUGCCGCUGAGGAAGCUUUAGAACAAAAUUUUAAGUUGUUGGAAUUGAAAGUAACCAGAGGGAUUAUCAAAUUAAGGUAAAGUGUACUCGAUAAUUAAUUACAGUUCAUGUAAUUUCAUUAAAGAGGAGUUACAACAUUGAGGUUUGCUGCUGAAAUUGGCAGAUUUAGUGUGUAGGGCUUGUUGAAGCUGCCGAAGUGAGAAAUUCAACCUGGGAAGCUUUGAACCUGAGGUAAUUAAUGACUUCUCAGCGAGGGUCUAGUUUAAUUACUCCUUAAGAGAGAGUUCUAGAUAAAGUAAGCAUGUAAAGAAGCUUAAAGGAGCCUUUAAUUGGUUCAAGUGAAUAUAUGUAUGCAGGAAAUUUUCGAAUUGAGGGAAGCAAUGGUGCAGAAUUCCAGCAUGGUGCAGAUUUUGAGGUUGAGCUGAAAUUGUUGCCUUAUUAGAGCUUCUUUGGUGUCCAAACUAAAAGAGGACCAAGUGGAACUUCAAGCUCAGGUGAGAUUAAUGUAAGUUCCUGGGCUAAUGGGUGUUAAUUGUACUCUAUGCUGUAAUGACUACAAAGAGAGUAGUCAUGAGGCAGAUUUCAGCAUUGAAUUCUGUUUACUAUUGAAGCUGAUUUCUAAGUAAUUGAAGCUAAAAAAAAUGAAACUCUAGGAUGCUGGGAGCAACUUAGAAAGCUUCUAAUUCAGGUAAGAAUAGAAAUUAUCCCUGAUUUGAGUAGUGGAAUGUUAUAAAGAUAAUUUCUAAGUGAGUUGUGAAGCACAAUUUUUGAAAUUCAGCCUGAACUGAAUUUCAGCAUGAGAGGUAUUUGUUAUUGAGCUGAGAACUAUGUAAUUGGACAGCAAAUUAAGUCACUUAUAAUUAUGUUAUGAUUAGGAGUUAGAUUAGUUACUCUAGAAGAGUUCUAAGCAUAAGAACUAAUUGUUCUAUGCUUAUAAUAAAUGCUCGAAGAGGAGGUGAAAUGCUGAAAAUUCAGCAUGAAGCAAGAUUUCAGCAUAAUGCUGAAAAUUAACAUUGAGCUGAAACUUUAAGUAUUAUGGCUUCUAUGAGAUUUGCUUUAGUAAAUACUUAUGAGUAGUUGUUAAAAGGUGAAAUUGAACUAAGACCAUGAUAACUUUAUCUUAAAGUUGAUAAGAAGUUUGAGAGUGAGAUUAUACUGAUGUACAUGUGGAAAGUAUAUCUAUAUGUAUAUAAGUGCUUAGAAGUUGAAAUGCAAGUUUUGUUGAAAAUGAAUAUGACGUCGGUUUAAUCUCUCCUAUACUUAUUUGAAUGAAAGUUAAACUUGCUCGAAAGUCAAAAUUGAUAUUCCGACAGGUCGGCGACGCAUUAAUUACGGUAGAAGCCAAUUCGUCUCUAAUUGCAUCGAGUCGCGUGAUAUUGUUCUUGAUACACUUCAAGACGUGAGCUCUUAGUUGUUGACACCACUACAGGUGGGUGGUGCUAUCCGAAGUCUUUGAAUCACCUUUUAUGUCUAUGAUAAUUCAUUGAGCAUAUUUAUAUUUGUUGUCAUGCAUUAUAGGGUAUUGGCAUUGUGCAAGUGAAAGUAUGUAUUCCUAUCAAUAGUGAGAACAUGUGAACAUUAGAAUGUGAAUAUAGAACCCUAUGAAUGUAUGGACUAUAGCAAUAGUAAACUUGGUGACAUUCAACUAGAGAUUUGGUUAGCAUCGAGAAAUGGAAUUGUGAAACUAGCAUAAAGAACUAGUUAGAGUAAAGUGUAACAGUGUUUGUCAGUUGAAUCCUCUAAAAGGGGAUCAGAUCAUACUCACAUUUGUUUAGUUCAAGUGAGGUCGCUCCUCCUUGAACGAUGAGCUCCGGAGUAGUCAUCUUUACUGGACCAGGAGGUGCGUCUCCCCCAGUUGACGGUCCCAUCGGGUGCAGGUGCGUCUCCCCGAUAUUUGGGAUAGCGUCAGUGAGUAAUUGUUAACCAGAGGGUUAACCAAAAUGAAUUGGAUAAACUCAGUAAAAGCAUGCAUGCAUAUUUACAGUUUUUCUAUAUUGCUUUCUUUCAGCUUUGUACAGGUAUUGUAGUAGUUACAUAUUAUAGUUGGUUACUAUCUCAGUUUACUUUUCUUGCCUACAUAUGCCUGGAUAGACCUAGUGGGUGAGUCGGCGAGGUCGGCGGCCGAACCCACUGGGAACUUUUAGUAGUUCUCACACUACUAACCAUACAGGUUCCAGCGCGACGUUGUGGCUGAGGAUCGCGACAAGAGCCCAGCAGCCUAGCUAGUGGGCACCCGAGUUCUAGUGGUAUACCAUUUUGGUUUCAUAUUGUACAUAAUGAUGAACAAAGAGAUGUGUAAAUGAAAAUUUAAGUGAUGUAAAUAACUAAAUGUUCAGUUAUUUAGUUAUAUAUAGUUUAGUGUUAAAAGUUUUAAAUUACAGUGAAUUUUCAGUAUAGUUAGCCUACUAUCACUUGUGCUUGUUGCUUGCCCUCGUGCAAGCCAUGUAUAUUGAAAUGUUAUCCUGGGAAUUGUUUAUUUCUUUAUUCAUGUACUCGUUGUUGUUGAGCCUUGGGCGGAUAGAGGAGGUUCUGUCCGUUUGGCGUCUGUGUACGGGCUCGGAUCGACCAAAUUGGCGAUAGCGGGACGUGACAGGCAGGAAGGUCCGAGCUCGGACCGGCGGGAGGGCUUGGGCUGGCAGGAGGGCUCGGGCCGGCAGGAAGGUCCGAGUCCGAGCAAAGGGAGCACCAGGCAGAGAAAGCCGAGGCUGGGCUCUCCAAGGCUAGGCCCAAGUUGGGCCCACAGGUGGAGUCCAGCAAUUGGCUUCCCGGGCUCUCCAAGGCCAGGCCCAAGUUGGGCCCACCGGUGGAGUCCAGCAAUUGACUUCCCAAGGAGAAGAGGUGGGCCCGUCCGAUCGCUGGCUUUCCAAAAUCCGAGGUCCAAUUGAAUGACCCAGGGCCCAGUGCAGGGUAGACAAGUGGGCCAGAUAAAAGCGCAGCGAAGAGGAGGGUCCGCGUCAGUCCUGUCGGACAGAGGCCCAAAUAAAGUAGUUUGAAAUUUGAAACAGAGCAGCACAGUACUGGACCAAAGGGGGAGAGGCUCCAAGCAGAAUUAAUGCGCAGGGACUUUUCCCGAUAAACGAGGCUUCCACAAAAGCUGAUCCCGGCUUGACCAGAAGGGCUCGUCUUCCAACAACAGGCAAAAGGUGAGCGAGGCUGAGUAGGGUGAGACAAAAAGGAAGCAUGAUCAGCAGGCAGGCCAGUACUUUCUCUAACAGGCAGAUCAACUUGCACGAAGGAGGAAAGAUUUGGAGAAAGGCAAAUCUGGCCGUUGGGGUACGGGAUGCGGUCAGCCGAGGCGUCACCGAUCGGCGAUUCAGCCGAGGCAUCACUGACCGGAGAGUCCUCGGCCGCGGGCGCCUGCCCUGACCCCGUGGAGACUAGAGAGGCUUCGGCCACUGGCGCCGACCCCCACCCCAGGGAGACCGAAGAAGCCUCGGUCACCGGCACAAACCCUAGGGAGACCGAAGAAGCCUCAGUCACCGACACCGACCUCGAUCCCAGGGGGGCGAUGAGGCCCAGUGAAGGUGGUCGGCAGCGCCUCCUAUCUCGGAUUUCGGAGGAGUCAGAGGAGCCGUCCGAGUUAGGGUCGUCGUCGUCCAGGGGCCUCCGCGCUCGUACUUCACCAAAGUACCGACGCUCCACCUCUAAGGAUCUCACGUCAGGAUCGACAUGGUCCGUUCGCUCGUUGGGCGGGGGGGAGGAUCACCACGGCCAUUGUCGCUGUCUCGAGCCCAACGCUCAAGUUGGAUUAGGACCGACAUAGAGACGUCCCCGAAGGCGACCUCCAGAUUCUCGGGUAUGUCAUGGAGGUGGUUGACGGCUACGAGGCAGCGGUAGCCGGAGAGAUCUACCAUGCGAGUCGUGUGCUCGUCCGCCCUGAUGAAUCGGGCGAAGCCGCCGACAAGAGCCGCAACGGUACGGGAAGACCAACAUUUAUAGGGGAGAGAUACCAGUCUGAUCCAAGCUUUGUAAGGAGGAGAAAACGGCGGGCGCCACUAUAGGGAUUCCAGGCAUAGCAUCGUAAUCUAAUAUCCCCCAGGCUGAGGUUAAGCCUACGGACAAGGGAGUCGCUUGGAACCCAUUCUGGAAGAAACACCACGAACUCUCGUUCCCUGUAGCGAGCCACCAGAAAGUCCAUGGGGAAGCCUCCGAAACGGUUGGCUAGACCGUUGGCAAUAGUGUCUUGAGCAAAGUGGCCAAGAUUCGCAGGGAGGAUGACAUCCACAAGGAGUGCAUUGCGGCGCUUGUUCUGCCGAGCAAAGAAGUCUUCUGUCUCCGAAACAAAGACGUUCAGGUAAGCUGGGCGAGCGCGCAUGUAGCGGUAGACGUCCAUCGGGAGGCGAUCCAUGCAGCUCCGCGCCUUGUGACCCGUUUUGAGGCACAGGGCGCACCGCAAAGGCUCUCGGCAAGCGGCUGCUCUGUGGUUCCGUCCCACGCACCGGAAACACCGGUCCUUGAAAGAGUGAGAAUCAAACUUGGGGGGAGUGUUGCGAAAAGUGUUACGAAGAGGUGGUGGAGGGUGGCGCGAAGGGAGUGAAGCACGGGAGCGAUGCGCCGGAGCGAAGCGCAGAGGUGGCGGCGGAGGGUUGCGCGAGGGAGCGUUGCGCAGAGGUGAUGGAGAGUUGCGUGAAGAGGAGGGUGGGGCAGCGGAGAGGAGGGCCUCUUUGUAGGACGGGUUGCCAGGAGAAGUGAGGCGUCCGUUCCUUUUAUAAUGCACUUCGGUCCAAGGCUGAUCCGCAGGCACUCCUUUGCCGUCGGUGUCCUUUACAGCUGGAGCAGGAGCACUAGGGGCAGGAGCGCUAGGGGAGUCAUCCUUGCUGAAGAAGGUAACCUGAGCCAGGUCCAGUCCAGCUGAGUCCGCCCAGAUCACCUUCUUCGCUAAGGAACGAUCAUUAAUGCUGGAGCUUGAGGGGUGGGUGGUUGCCAUAACUCCAUUGCCCAGAUGAUGUUUAAGCUCCUGAAACCUCCGCUCCAAGUCAUUACUCAGUCCAGAUGAAAUGACAUUCACUGCUCCAGAUCGCUCGAUCGACCGAUGCCGAGGAUCCCCCAGCUGACUGGGACAGGGGGCCGCCGUCUUCCCGAUCACCGUCGUGCUUGUUGUCUUGGCCGUCGUGCCUGUUGUCUUGGCCGCCGUCUUCCCUGUCGCCGUGGUCGCCGUCUUCCUAGUCGUCUUGAUCGGCGUACAGGCGACCGCCUUCCCCUUCUCUCUCUCUCUCUCUCUCUCUGUAUUAGCUAAAAAAAUAUUAAACACAUGCAUGUAUUAUAAUGUAGUUAAAACUUAUAUGCAACAAGUCCAAAAUAGUAUAAUGAAAAGAUAAGUAUCAUUUUUUUUUUUUUUUUUGCUUUAACUUUUGAUGGUCAAGUAUUUUACUGGAUUCAAAUUCGGGUCAAGAUCUAGAUAUGAAAACUAGUCCGAACUUUACCCACCAAAAGAAUGGGUCCGGAUUGGAUCGAAAUUGGAUAGGGUAUAAGAUAUUCGGACCAAUAACCAAAACUUAAACGGAUACUUUUUUUACCCCACAUACUACCCACUUUUAACCAGUCCGAAUCGGAUCCGGAUAGGAUCUGGAUCGGCUCGAGAAUAUUGGAAAUUUUGGGCAUCUCUAAAGCUUAUAGACUAAAGUAAGCCAGUAAAAAUUUGCACCAAAAUGUCACCAUAAAAUACUCCCCCACUUCACUUUGUUGACUAGGGUGCUUAAUUAAUUUUCCAAGAUGACUUGACUCCAUCAGUGUGGAAAAGCUCGGAGCAAAUUUAAUAAAGAGACAAUUAUCUGUAUAUCCCUGCAAAAUUCUCACCAUGCAGUCCUUAAAAACAUCUGUUUCUUAAUUACAUCUUUUUAAAAUCUCUUUUUUUUUUUUAUAAAAUAAUUCAAAUUUGUGGAUCGGAUUGGGUCUGGUUAAUUAAUAUACUAAACCCGUACCCGAAAAAAAAAAUAUAAAAAAAAUAUACCCAUUCUUUUCAACUUUAGAGCGGGUCCGAAUCUAAAUACUUAAGUUCCUACUGCACUCAUUAAAUUUAUUUGACUGGAUUUAGAUAGUUACUAUCCUGUAUACAAUCCACUUCAAGAUCCGAUAAGGGCUGGAGCUAGAUCAAAUACAGAUAUCUGUAUGUGUGUCUAUGUCAUCAAGAACAACUAUACGUUACAUGAUAAGUGCAAAACAAAAAUUAAAAAUUAAAAAUAGUUACACAUAUAUUAAUUACCCUAAAACACAUACAAUUAACCACCACCUCAAAUUGAUACAACAACAUAAUAAUUAAAAAUGUAAUGAUAAACCCAAAGACAUAUAACAUAAUUAUGUAAAACACAUACAGCUUGUCAUAUAGCACACACUGUAAGUCCAAAGCACAUGCACUUUUUGUAAUGUAAUUAAAACUCAUAUGUAGUAAGUCUGAAACUGUCUAAUGAAAAGAUAAGUAUCAAUUUUUAAAAUUUUCAUAAGUUUUUCAAUUUCUUUUCCUUGCUUUAACUUUUGAUGUUUGGGUAUUUUAUAGGAGGCCCAGGUCUAGAUCAGGAUAAUGAUACGAAAACUAUAUUGGACCCCACCCACCAAAGGAAUGGAUCCGGAUUGGAUUCAAGUCGAGUAGAGUAUGAUAUAUUCAGACCAAUAACCAAAACUUAAAAGAGUAAUUUUUUAUCUUUAUAUUAUCUAUUUUUAAUCAGGUUCAAAUCAGACCUGAAAAAAAGUCAGGAUCGGAUUUAAAAUAUUGGGUAUUUUGGACACCUCUCCGUAACAUAUAUAAUUACUAAAUACUUAUAGGUCAAUACAAAGCUGUACCAAAAUGUCACCAUAAAAUACUCCCCACUUUGUUGACGUGGGUGUUUAAUUUCCAAGAUGACUUGUGAGUUCAAUAUGGAAAAAAGUGGAGAACUAAUUUAAUAAGGAGGCAAUUAUCUAUGUAUCCCUAUAAAAUUCUCGUCUUUUAUAUGUAGCCUCGACAAACAUCUGUUCUUAAAUUUAUCUUUCCAAAGUCUCAUAUUUGUUUGAAAAACUCAAAUUCGUGGAUUGGGUCGGAUCUCGAUAGUUAAUAUAUUGUAUUCAUGUCACGCCCCGAAUUACUCGUUUCUCCGGACUCGCUAACAGACCCGCCGUAUAUAUAGAUAUUUUUCUUGUAUACGAAGCGAAAAAGUAGAAGUACCUGUAAUCAUUCAAUACCACAAACAGUAAUAUAGAGCAGCUAGGAAAAUAAACCAAAUAUAUAAACUAUGGUUCAAUACAUACAUGUCAUCCAGGUAUAGAAACACUCGCUCUGGCGAGAUACAACAACUGUAUGUAAAGACCCAAAAACUACAACUACCUGUAGCUGGUACUCCUCUAGCUCUGCGACUCGUCUGGAAGGGCUCUAACUCGCAACGCCCUUGCCACGAUCAGUUUCGAUAGAAGCAGCAGCCGGGACAGAAGGCUCUGCAAAAAUAGGGUAACAAUUGGGCGUGAGAACUACUACAAACAGAAGUAGUUCUCAGUGGGUACCGCCCUCGAACUCAUCGCUCCACCCACUAAGUCUACAGGAGUAAGCAGGAAUAGUAAAGAAAGCUGGAAUAAAUUUACAGCUAAAUGGCACUACACUAUCAUGCUCCAACUCUACCCUCUGUAGAACAAUGUCAUCUCAGACCCAAUCUCAAUAAGGACUGUAAUCAUAUCUGUCCUUCGGACUGUGAACACAUCUAUCCCGCCCGGUUGCGACUAUCCAGCUACCUCCACACUAAUCAGUCCGUGGAGAGCAAGUCCAACCUGCACGAACGACACCAACGCAAAAGCACAAAGCCUGACUCCGGAGUGGCACUCAUGGGCGCUACCCAAUCGAGUAUGCAAGCAUAUCUCUGUCGAGCUCAAUCAGGCUCUCACAAGCUAACGUCAAGUAGACAGGGUCAAACAGGUCUAGAAACCAAACCCACGUGCCCUCGGAACAAUCUGAGACCAAAAACAGGAAUUUGGGUCCACCGUCCACCCCGACGGCACCCGACAACCCGAAACAGCCUAGAUUCUACUGUAAAAAUAAGCUCGGCAUCCCAGCACGAGCGUAAAUGUAUUCUAAACUACCCCGGGUAUCCACCGCGCUGAAACAGCAGUGAUACAAUCAAACCACGGCUCCUAGAGCUAAAUCAGGUAGUAGAAUCAUAUGACAAGUCGAAUCGCUGGUUUUCUCCUAAGUCAAGUUCCAAGUCCAACAUGUAUAUUCAACUAAUUACUAUUCAUGCUCCAAAUUCAGAUUUCAUACAUUAUACCAAUCGAUGAAUUUGAGCUACAACAUGAUAUUCCGAAUUCGAAACUAUACAUGUUUACUAUACAUAUACUUAGGAGCAAAAUCGAUGAUAAACCCACCUCUAGUGCAAUUUUCUGGCAGCAAAGAAGGGUUCCGAACCAAAGCUAAUCCCUGUUGGAUCAACCGAAAUCCUCUAAGACCAGAAAUCAAGUUAUCUCUAAACUCUACACACUGAAUUCCAUUAAUUAUCACUAUUUCAGCACUAAAGCUUAAUUUAAUCUCAAUUGUAAUGUCAAAACUCACCUAAUUACCUUCAAAUCAGGUGAGGAAGGUCUCAAAUCUAGUGAAUAAUAAUGGAGAAUGUGUCUCAGGUCCAAAAUCCCACUGCCUACAAAAAUAGUAUCAAGAAAAGCUCAAAAAUCUCAUUUUCAGUUCAAUGUUGCAAGCAGUCCAGAAAUACAUGUAAACGACUAAGCUAACCUCAACCAAAACCCACAAUUUAGGAUUUCGUGGAUUUCUCUAGAAGUCUAGAAUCCAGCAAACCAAGUUUCACCGCAAUCCGACCUUCCUACGUCGCACACGAGCCAAAACACCGAAGGUCGUUGCUGGAAAACUGCAGAAUCAGCACUCCACCACCUUCCAAUUGAAAGAUUGGAGCAAAUUGAGGAAAUCAGAGGGUUAGAAAUGCAAUUUGAGACUUCUCUGUGAAGAACAGGUGAAAAGAACUCACUGGAGUCAAACACCACCUAUUUAUAGGGUGUUAGAAUGGUCCCAUAAGCCUCAGGAACAACAGUUGCAAACCUGCAACUCAGCAGAAACGGGCACUUCCGGGCGCCCGGACCCACAUUAUGGGCGCCCGAAUCCUCCAGGCUACACAAGGCUUCCUCCUCGGAGUCUCCGCCCGCGGUGUGCUACGCCUAUAUCCGGCUCCGGCGGACCUCGCCUACUACCAGUCACGUGUCAGCGCAAACGAUACUCACGAUGUGAACUUUCGGACCCACAUCCGGGCGCCCAAAACAUGGACCCGAAUUGGCUUCCAGUUCUGCUCAGUUCUGCACUCAAUUUCUGAGCGACCCAAAGCCAGUUCUGAGCGCCCGAAUCCGGCAAAACUCCAGUUUUGCUUAUUUGAAUGCGCCGAAUCCAUUUUUGCAUCCAUUUCGCAUAGAAAUAACUCCGACUCAGUCCGACACUCUUCAGAUGUGUCGACCAGUCACUAACACUGAAGCCAAUCCUAUCCAAAUCUCAGAAAUACUACAAUUUGUAUCCUAAAAAAAUAUAUAUAAUAUAUAUAUCUAUACUAUAUACAAAAUCAUAUAUUUUGAAUUUUAGUAUGAGGCUCAUUUUUUAGUAAGAAAAGGAUUUUGGUUCACUUUUCUUUUCUUAUGCAAAUAAAUAACAUAAUCAAACAAAAUUUUUUAUUUCUUCUUUUUUCCUCUAUCGGAUAUUUUUUUCCUAUUUUUAUUUAAAUAUGCCGGUCUCAUUUCAUUCCUUUUCUUCUUAAGUGAAUAUUUUCAGAUUAUUUUAAUAUUAUCUAGAAAUAUUUAGUUGUUAUGUUAACUUUUUAUUGAUUCCAACUAACAAUCAAAUUUGAAAUUAAUUUUAAAUAUAUAUUUAAAUUUUAAUCAUAUAUAAUUUAAAUUUAAAUUUAUAAAAUUUUAAAAAUAAAAUUAAAAUUUAAGUUUAAAUUGUGAAUUAGAUUUUAUUUUGAAAAUCAAAUUUGAAUUAACAAUUAAAAAUUUUAAUUAAAUUGGAUCAAAAUUUAAAUUUAAAUUUUGAGUAAAAUGUGAGUUAAAAAUUUGAUAUUUUUAGUUUAAAA
RNAcentral lists this long non-coding RNA (25477 nucleotides) under Ananas comosus (pineapple). RNAcentral describes it as "long non-coding RNA (ACOM_LNC006004)". The record is from RNAcentral. Lineage: Eukaryota; Viridiplantae; Streptophyta; Magnoliopsida; Poales; Bromeliaceae.